GGAGGAGUGGCCGAGCGGUCGAAGGCGGCGGUCUUGAAAACCGCAGAGCCCUAUCGGGCUCCGGGGGUUCGAAUCCCUCCUCCUCCG
Molecule: transfer RNA, 87 nt
Filed under: Deltaproteobacteria bacterium
Lineage: Bacteria; Pseudomonadati; Myxococcota; Myxococcia
Description: tRNA-Ser
Rfam family: tRNA
About the family: Transfer RNA (tRNA) molecules are approximately 80 nucleotides in length.
Source: RNAcentral